RNAcentral lists this ribosomal RNA (662 nucleotides) under Girardia sp. A KI-2020. RNAcentral describes it as "SSU rRNA". It matches the Rfam family "Eukaryotic small subunit ribosomal RNA", at positions 1082 to 1763 of the family's 1831-position model. RNAcentral also lists the same sequence under 1 other name. The record is from RNAcentral. Lineage: Eukaryota; Metazoa; Platyhelminthes; Tricladida; Dugesiidae.
AGAAGUCACCGGGAAACCUAAGUCUAUGGGUUCCGGGGGAAGUAUGGUUGCAAAGCUGAAACUUAAAGGAAUUGACGGAAGGGCACCACCAGGAGUGGAGCCUGCGGCUUAAUUUGACUCAACACGGGAAAUCUCACCCGGUCCGGACACUGUGAGGAUUGACAGAUUGAUAGCUCUUUCUUGAUUCGGUGGGUGGUGGUGCAUGGCCGUUCUUAGUUGGUGGAGCGAUUUGUCUGGUUAAUUCCGUUAACGAACGAGACUCUUACCUGCUAAAUAGUACAUUUGUGUUAAAUCGCAAAUGCUGACUUCUUAGAGGAAUAAAUAGCGUUUAGCUAAAUGAAAUGGAGCAAUAACAGGUCUGUGAUGCCCUUAGAUGUCCGGGGCCGCACGCGCGCUACAAUGGCAGUACCAGCGAGUUUUAUUCCUAGCUAGAAAUGGCCGGGUAACCUGCUGAAUCACUGUCGUGUCAGGAAUAGUGGAUUGAAAUUUUCCCACUUGAACGAGGAAUUCCUAGUAAGCGCAAGUCACUAGCUUGCGCUGAUUACGUCCCUGCCCUUUGUACACACCGCCCGUCGCUACUACCGAUUGAAUGGUUUAGUGAGAUCGUUGGAUUCUGAUCUAAGAAAUGGAAACAUUUCUAUGAUUGGGAAAAGACAAUCAAA